This 398-nucleotide unclassified non-coding RNA is filed under the name uncultured fungus. RNAcentral describes it as "sequence contains ITS1". The stretch from base 1 to 105 matches the Rfam family "5.8S ribosomal RNA", at positions 50 to 154 of the family's 154-position model. The record is from RNAcentral. Lineage: Eukaryota; Fungi.
GAAAUGCGAUACGUAAUGUGAAUUGCAGAAUUCAGUGAAUCAUCGAAUCUUUGAACGCAAAUUGCGCUUUUGGGUCACCCUGAGAGCAUGCCUCGUUCAGUAUCGUUUCUACCCAUCUCUAAAAGCUUUGCUUUUGGGAAAAUGAAGUGUGUUAAGUCUUGUACUUAACUCCUUUGAAGUCUAUUGAGUUUUGAUCUUUGGUGUUCCUUUACUUUGGUAAAGCUUUUGAACUCAGUCUCAAUGGAGAUACUUGACCUUUGUGUCAUUCUCUACAUUGAUUACGGCUGGCAACAAGAGAGUAGCAUCGAAUUUUAAAGACUUGUUGAACCUUGCAUCUCAUGCAAGACUUUACUUAACGAUCUGAUCUGAACUGAGGUAGGAUUACCCGCUGAACUUAA